AACGAACGCUGGCGGCAUGCCUAACACAUGCAAGUCGAACGAUGCCUUCGGGCAUAGUGGCGCACGGGUGCGUAACGCGUGGGAAUCUGCCCUCUGGUACGGAAUAACUCAGGGAAACUUGAGCUAAUACCGUAUAAUGACUCCGGUCCAAAGAUUUAUCGCCUGAGGAUGAGCCCGCGUCGGAUUAGCUAGUUGGUGAGGUAAAAGCUCACCAAGGCGACGAUCCGUAGCUGGUCUGAG
RNAcentral lists this ribosomal RNA (240 nucleotides) under uncultured Sphingomonas sp. RNAcentral's name for it is "partial 16S ribosomal RNA". It matches the Rfam family "Bacterial small subunit ribosomal RNA", at positions 29 to 296 of the family's 1533-position model. Lineage: Bacteria; Pseudomonadati; Pseudomonadota; Alphaproteobacteria; Sphingomonadales; Sphingomonadaceae. The record is from RNAcentral.